This 1632-nucleotide long non-coding RNA is filed under the name Rattus norvegicus (Norway rat). Its description in RNAcentral is "long non-coding RNA NONRATT014225". The record is from RNAcentral. Lineage: Eukaryota; Metazoa; Chordata; Mammalia; Rodentia; Muridae.
CCCUGGCCUAGUGUAUCUAAUCUGGCCAAGGACUUCAUUGACCGCCUGCUGACCGUGGACCCUGGAGCCCGGAUGACUGCACUGCAGGCCCUAAGACACCCCUGGGUAGUAAGCAUGGCAGCCUCUUCAUCCAUGAAGAAUCUGCAUCGAUCCAUCUCCCAGAAUCUCCUCAAGCGUGCUUCCUCUCGUUGCCAGAGCACCAAAUCUUCCCAGUCCACACGUUCCAGCCGCUCCACACGCUCCAACAAGUCACGCCGUGUUCGGGAGCGCGAACUGCGGGAGCUUAACCUGCGCUAUCAACAGCAGUAUAAUGGCUGAGCCACCAGCUAUGCCAUGGACACACUAUUGUCUCAUCCUGGACACUUUAUGCCAUGUCACCUGGGCCUAAUACCUUCUCUAUAGCUAGACCUUGUGCCCAGCAGUAUGUAGAGCAUGUCUGCACCCAGCUCCUCUCUAUACCUUUAGUAGCCCCUACCUCCUAUCAAGGGCCUGGCCCUGUUAUGAUGGAAUGGUGGCUCAGGGCCACUUGAACUGGGAGCCUGGUAGGCAGCUGCUCUAUUUGAGUUGGAAAAAGGUGCAGGACUGAGUCCCCACUGAUUGCCUUAAUUUUUGCCACUUUCUUGGACCAAGGUGUCUGGGAGUACUGUGUUGGGUAGAAAGGGUCCUAUGGCUCAGGACUCUUAAUCCUUUUAUAACCCCCUUCCUCCCCAAAGCAUUGAUUGGUCUAGCUUCCACAUUCUCUGCCAUGCUAAUCCUUAAGAUUAUGCUCCAGUGGGAAGUCUGACUUGUGCCAUAGCUAAAUUGCCUCAUUAGUCCCUUAGCUACAGUUAGAUUCAAGCAACUCUGUUUCCCUCAGCCAAGAUUUAUCUUCCUUCAUGGUGCCACCGGGGACCCCUUCUGUCCUCAGACUUGCCAGACCUCUGGCUGUAGAGACUGUGGCAUGGACCUAACCUCAGGCUCCAACCUCUCUCUGAGAGAGAUCCUGUCUAUCACCCUCAGUGCCUUUGCAGAGCCUGCUAUUGUCUAUCUCUCCUACUUGGAUGCCAGUUUCGUUCCCCAGCUGCCUCCUUCCCAACAGUGAGGGGUUAAAGGGAGCUCCACUGCUGCUACCUGGGGAAUGGAUGUGCCUGAAGGUUCUAUCUUCUCAGAAGUCAUCACCAACCUUUGUUCUGUCCUUUGGUGUGUUGCCCUUUGCUGCUUCCCUUCUGGAGCUGCCAGACCCUCCUUUACAGCUCCACUGUGCCACCUACUGUCUGGUCUAGGUAUCGGUGGCCAGGAGAGGGAGUGGUGACCUUGCAAACCCACAGCCCUCCAAACGGAAGAGGAGAGAAAGGAGUUGCUGAGUUGGGGGAGAGUCCUGGGCUGCUCAACUCCCCUUCUGCUCAGUUUCUCCAAACCUCACCCUGGAACUUAGCCAUACUGUGUUACCUGCCUCUGAACCUUGGGUGCCUUGGGUGCAGACCUUGCUGUAAGAGCUGGCCUUGCCCUAUUUGCCCUGUGCCCUGUGUUUCUUUUCAUAGCAUUAACUUUCCAGGCUGGCCCCACUGAGUCUCAGGCUGGAGGGAGCCCUUCUGGGAGGUAGGGUAGGGUUGCAGGGGCUACUUUCCCAGAGGACUGAGCCACAACAGCCCC